This 17391-nucleotide long non-coding RNA is filed under the name Gossypium barbadense (sea-island cotton). RNAcentral's name for it is "long non-coding RNA (GBAR_LNC020355)". Lineage: Eukaryota; Viridiplantae; Streptophyta; Magnoliopsida; Malvales; Malvaceae. The record is from RNAcentral.
GCCAAUAUAUUACCAAUCUGAGUAAUGUACCAUUUAACAGCACUAACGUUCUUAACUUCAUAUAUAUAUAUAUAUGUAUAUGUAUGUAUGGUUGAAGCUGAUUAAUGGGAAUUCAGCUUGCAUCCCAAUAUAAUGUACACAAAAUUGCCUUACUUCAUAAUAUUGUUAUUACAUAGAUUAACAUUGUUGACACCAUUUUUUUGGAUGAAAAUGGGGUCGACUUGGGUUUUGAAAAAUGAAAACGAAAGUGGGAGUCGCCACCAAUCUUUUUUUGAUGAGGUGUGAUUGGGUCACCUUUAAAAGCGGUUGUCUUUAAUAGAUAAUUUAAUUUUAUUAAAACAACGAGUUUGGUCUACAAAAAUUCAGAAAACGGGUUCGGGAGUCGGUUACGUACGAGGAAGGAUUAGUACCCUCGAAACGCCCAAAAUUGGUACCUAGUUGAUUAGUUAAUGUCUUAAUGUCGAAAAUUGAAAACUUUGAAGAAUUUUAAAAAAAUACGAUCCUUGUAUUAAAAUGUUGAAAAUUUUGGAAAAAGUGGUAUAUUUCAUGAGAGAAAGAGGAUCAUAUCCAGUAAGUUAGGAUACAAUGUCUCGAAUUCCCGAUACACAAACGAAUGCCAAAAUUUACUUAUUUAAAAGAUAUUUUAGCUAUCUCGGAUUUAAAAAAGGAUAUCACGACCAGUAAGUUAGAACGCGAUUUUUAAAUCUCGAGAUUACUAAGAACUUGAGUUUGAAAAGAGUCGUGCAUUUAGAUGUGUUGUGAAGAUCGAAACCCAGUAAGUUAGGGCACAAUCUUUUCGAAUCUAAACACGAUGCUAUUUAUUCAAAACAAACUUCGGUAUAUCGAAUAAAAUAAAACACAAAAUCGUAGUAAAGAAUGUGAGAACAUAGAUAAAUAUAUACAUAUAUAUAUAAAAUCGGUAAGUAUUAUAAAAAUAAAAAUGUAAAUAUGUGUUUAUAUAUAUUUACAAAUUGUGACAAUAUAAAGUAUAUGUAUGUGAAUCAUAAAAUAUGUAAAAUAUACAAAAAGCAUUUUUAAGAAUAUAAAGAAUAUAUAUAAGUAUGUAUAUGAUGUAAAAUAUGCAUAAAUAUAUGUAAGUAUAUAAGAAUUAUGAAAUGUGAAAAAUAUAUUUAAGUAUGUAUAAGUAUGUAUAUAUAUACAUAAUAAUUUAGAGUAUAAAGAUACAUAUAAAAAUUUAAAAUGAAUAUUACGUAUGAUGAUUCAGAAGAAAUAACAUAUAUGCAAAAUUUUUAAAAUUGAUAAUGAUUUAGAAUAUAUGAUAUAUUCAAAAUAAUGCCAAUAAUAAUAGUAAUAAUAAUGUAGAUAAGAAACAAGAAAAUAAAAUAAUAUAAUAUGACAAAUUUAAUAUAAAAUUGAUUGAUUUGAUGACAUAGUGGUGAUACUAAUGAUAACACAAUAAUAAUGACAUAGAAAACAAUGAUAUCAAUAAAAUAAUAAGGACAAAAAAUAGCUCCAAUAUUAACAAUAACGACAAUAAUAGAAUAACAACAAUAACAAAUAAAGAAUAAUAAUGAUUAUAACUAUUAUGUAAAACAGUGAUAUAAAUAGUAACAACAAUAAUGAUAAGAUAUAAGAAAUAAUAGAAUAAUGGCAAUAAUAAUAAUAAGUAGCAAUAAUAGAAUUAAUAAUAAAAAUAAAGUUGAUUAAUUAAAAAAAACUAUAUUGAAUUUUGGAACACAAAUUUGGGGCGAAUUCAAAAUAAAAAAAGAAGGGAGGACACAUUGAAAUGCGCCAAGAAAGUAGAGGGAUCCCAUGCGCAAAUAGACCAUUCGGUCAAAAUGCGCGGAUCCUCCGUGGGCGUAGGGCGGGUCGCGUGUGGGAGGUCCAAAACUGUGUCGUUUUGGCACCUGGACCCCCCACUCCCAAACGGCGCCGUUUGCCUCUAGUCUUUAAGUUAGUUUCUUUUCUUCAUUUCAGUUUCUCUAAAAAAAACUGAGGGCCUUUUGCCCUCUCCCCCUCUCUCUUUGCUUCAGCCGAUCGGGCUAUCUCGCAGUCCACCGUAUCGCCACUAUUUUUAGUGCCCGGUGACGCGCGACCCUGGGUAUUUAAACCCCGCUUGGGAGCCCUUCGAAGGCCAGGCACCUCGACGUCCUUUGGGAACCAAGAGAGAAACCCGUGGCCCUCUCCUUCGAACCCAAUCGCCACGAUGGAGAAGGUUCUCCGGCGACGCGUCCGUGGUUUCAGGUGAGGUUUCCUUAUUUCUUUUCUUUUACUUUUGUCUAUUUUCGUAUAUAAAAAAGAAAAAUAAAAAAAACAAAAUAAGUGAACUCAGAUCUUAGAACGAAAGUGAAAAUCAACCUUUUUUGAUUUCUUGCUACCCUUUGUUUAUGUUUGUUUCCAUCUCCCCUAUCUGUGUUACAAAAUCCUUUUUUUAUAUCAAAAAAGAAGAACCCCCCUCCUCCCCUUACAAAAUAGUUUCGGUGGCUUAAUAUAGCCUUCCACAAUUUUCUCCUAUUUUUUGUUUUCUGUCUUUUCUUCUUUGUUUUUGCAGGUGCAAGUGGCAUGGGAGCGGCAGAGCAGGUGGAGCAAGUGAGCGGUGAUGGGACGGUGGCAGAAAGCAGGUGAACGGCGGAGUUGGUGGCGGUGGCAGAGGGUAGGUGAUGGGGUAUUGUAAUUGGGUCUGCUGGUAUGGGUUCUUUUGUUAGUGGGCCGGGCAGAAAUUGGGUAAGUUAAUUGGUUUUGUGUUUUGUUUUUUUGCUUGGGCUAGAGGUUAAUUGGGCCCGGGCAUGAAAAUUGGGCUUGUACAGCUGCCCCUCUUUGCUCGUUGUCGUGUAACGAGAACAGAGCAAAGAUUAAGAAAGACCAAUUUUUGCCCGGUCUCGCCGAGUCUUGACUCCUCUUGACGCUUUUCUUCAAGUAGUUUCAUUCCAAUCCAAUGUGUCAUGUUGCUUCAAUCCACUCCACUGCAACUUCAGAGAGAUAUGACUUGUAACUUCAAUCCAUUCUGUUGUAACUUCAGGGGGUAAGGUCCAUCAUUCUGACCCGCUUCACUGCAACUUCAGGGAGAUCGGACUCAUAUCUUCAACUUGCCCCACUACAACUUCAGGGGGAUAAGAUUCGUUGUUUUCAAUCUAUUCCACUACAUCUUCAGGGAAAUAAGACUUGAUGCGACCUACUCUGCUGUAACCUCAGAGAGAUAAGAUCCUUUAGCUUCAAUCUGAUGUGAUCUACUCUACUAUAACUUUAGAGAGAUAAGAUCCUUUAUUUUAAUCCGCUCCACUGUAACUUCAGGGAGAUAGGAUAGUGUCUUCGAUCUGCUCCGCUGUAAUCUCAGGGAGAUAAGAUCUCUGGCUUCAAUCUGCUCCACUGUAACCUCAGGGAGAUAAGAUCUGAAAUUCUCCGGUCUACUCCACUGUAAUCUCAGGGAGAUAAGACUCUGAAUAAUAAACCUUAUUAUGCCUAAUGAUUAGGAUGACAUGAUCAAAAUGAAACAAAUGCUCCUAACUAGACAUAUGUGAAUGGUGUUUGCAUGAAUGCAGAAUUUCAUUUUUCCGAGAAUGAUCUCGCUUAGGUUAUCAUUACUCGAAGUUUAUCAAGGUUUUGUGACUGACGUGCUACAACGCCUUCUCGCUUGACUGAUUUUUCUGAAGAAACAUUUAGCCAGACUGUCCCCAUUGUAAACCUCAAAGUUAUAUCCAAUGGGACGCCAAAAUUUGUACCAUCAUUCUCUCACAGUAAUCUAAGGGUAGAAAUAUGUGGCUUUUCCUCUAUCCUCUUUUAUCACGAUUCGGGGAUAUAGUAUCUGAACCGUUCUGGUUUCCUACACCAUUCUCAAGGUGUCGUACCAAAGUCUUAUGCGCAAGUGAAGGCUCUCUUCUCCGAGGUAACCUCUUCAUAUUGCCUGAUGAUCAUUGCUUGCUUGUUCAUUUAAGCUUUGUAAUUAACACGACAGCUUGUCAUUUUGUUCAAUCAAUGUUUAGACGACAAAAUCUGAAAGGAUAGUCUUUAACUUAGACUCUUCCUUCCUAGCUAUUUCACCUUUUAAACUUGGUAUUUUCUAAACAAUAGUCAUGUUUCAGGUCCCUAUAUUAUUUAGAAAUUUUCCAGAGUAAUGUGCAAAACUUCUUUCCUGAAAGUUUUAUUAGUUCGUUAAUCAUUAUUCCUAUGCAACAUGUUUGCAAAAAGAUCAUAACAAUGGAUAAGAAUAAAGCUAGUUCUGAUCAUAACUCAAAUAAAACAUCAAAGAUGGCGAAAGAAAGGUAACAAAGAAGUGGAUUGAGAAUGUGCGUUUUCACAAAAGGAAAGGAAGAAAGAAAGAAAAUAAAAUGUAUUUUCAAGAAUACACAUAAGAACUAGGUGCCCCAGUUAUCGCCGCUUGAGUUUCUCUGUACAAACUUUCCGAAGACCCUUCUAAGUUUGACAUGUGUUCAGGAGAUCUGCAAUACUCUGUCAAUGUUCCAAGACGUUGCAUAUCCUUUCUUAUUGGUUCAAGUAAAGGAAGAUCAUCAUAUGCCCCUGAUCAAAAUUUGAUCCGCUCAAGUCCUGAUGUUCCAAUCCUGCCCAAUACUUGAGUCGCCCUUUUCCGGGCUUUCGACUCAAGCCCUCUUUGGUCUCAAAGUGCCCUUUACGGGUUUUCACCUUAGCCUCUCCAAAGUUUUUUUUUUUUUAGGAAGCAAAGCGCCCUUCACGGGUUUUCACUUUGGUUCCGCUUUCUUUCAAGUGAAGUAUUUCUUGACAGAGUCUGCAUUUACAGGAUUUGGUAAACUUUUGCCAUCCAUCUCGCAUAGGAUCAAAGCUCCACCAGAAAAGGCCUUCUUUACAACAUAAGGGCCUUCCCAAUUUGGCAUCCAUUUUCCUCUAUAAUCUUUUUGCAUAGGAAGAAUCUUUUUUAGUACCAAGUCCCCUUCUCGAAAUUCUCGGGGGCGAACCUUUUUAUUAUAGACUCGCAUCAUUCGUUUCUGGUACAUUUGCCCAUGGUGAAUAGCUCUUAGCCUCUUUUCUUCUAUUAGGUUCAACUGAUCGUACCGAGAUUGGAUCCAAUCGGCUUCAUCCAACUGUAGCUCAGAUAACACCCGUAGAGAAGGGAUUUCAACUUCAAUGGGUAAUACUGCCUCCAUUCCAUAAACCAGAGAGAAAGGUGUUGCCCCAGUAGAAGUUCUAACAGAUGUUCGAUAGGCGAGGAGAGCAAAUGAUAAUUUCUCAUGCCAAUCCUUGUAGGUUUCAGUCAUUUUCCCCACAAUCCUUUUAAUGUUUUUAUUGGCCGCCUCCACUGCACCAUUCAUUUUGGGACGAUACGGCGAUGAGUUAUGAUGCUUAAUUUUAAAUUUGCUACAAACUUCAGCUAUUGUGCUAUUAUUCAAGUUCAUCGCAUUGUCGGAUAUGAUCCUCUCAGGCAUUCCAUAUCGACAAAUGAUCUCCUUCUUCAAGAAUUUGCUGACUACUGCUUUCGUGACAUUUGCAUAUGAAGCAGCCUCCACCCACUUGGUAAAGUAAUCAAUUACUACGAAGAUGAAGCGAUGCCCAUUAGAAGCCUUUGGUGAUAUUGGCCCAAUAACAUCCAUACCCCACAUGGAAAACGGCCAAGGAGAGGUCAUGACGUGAAGAGGUGAAGGAGGCGCGUGUAUUUUGUCUCCGUAAAUUUGGCAUUUGUGGCACUUCCUGGCAUGAUCAAUACAAUCUCCUUCCAUGGUGGGCCAAUAGUACCCAAAUCUCAUGAUCUGUCUGGCCAUCGUGAAACCACUGGCGUGCGUCCUACAAAUACCCUCAUGGACUUCUUCCAAAAUUUUCUUGGCUUCUACAGCAUCCACACAUCUUAACAGUACUUGAUCCUUCCUUCUUUUAUAUAACACUUCUCCAUCUAAGACAUAUUCAAUGGCUAUCUUUCUCAGAGUUCUUUUGUCAUUCUCUGUCGCUUGAUCAGGGUAUUCCCGAUUCUUCACAUAUUGUAAGAUACUCCGAUACCAAGGACAAUCAUCCUUUCCCUCCUCCUCAAUAUUGCAGUAAUUAGCCGGGGUCUCAGAGAUACUCAUCUGAACAGGCCUUAUUGCCUCAAGUCUAUUCACCUGAAUCAUCGAAGCUAGAGUAGCUAAUGCAUCAGCCAUUUGGUUUUCCUCCCGUGGGAGGUAAUAGAAGGUGAUAUCGUCAAACUCCUCAGCCAAUUCAAGAACUACUUUUCUAUAACCGAUUAGCUUAGGAUCUCUAGUCUCCCACUCCCCUUUGAGUUGGUAUAUCACCAACGCUGAAUCUCCGUAUACUCUCAGUACUUUGAUGUUCCGUUUCAUGGCUGCACGAAUGCCCAUAAUACAUGCUUCAUAUUCUGCCAUGUUAUUUGUACAAUCGAAGUCCAACUUACUAGCAACAGGAUAAUGAUCUCCACUUGGGGAUACCAAAACUGCCCCAACUCCAUUACCCAUAGCAUUUGAAGCUCCAUCAAAAUUUAACUUCCAUACGUGAUCCAUUUGAGAAUUUUCUUCAGUAUUCGCCACAUACAUCAAGUCCUCGUUUGGAAAAUCGAAAUUCAAAGAUUCAUAGUCCUCCAAGGCUCUACUAGCUAGGAAAUCGGCUAUUGCACUUCCCUUUAUGGCCUUCUGACUGACAUAUACUAUAUCAAAUUCUGAGAGCAAGAUCUGCCAUCUAGCCAUUCUCCCGUUCAAAGCAGUCGAUUCCAUCAUAUAUUUUAAAGGAUCUAACUUUGAAAUCAGCCAAGUCGUGUGAUACAACAUAUACUGCCUCAGUCUUCGGGUUGCCCAGAUUAGAGCACAACACAACUUCUCAAUUGAUGAGUACCUCAUUUCGCAAUCGGUAAAUUUCUUACUGAGAUAGUAUAUUGCCCUUUCUUUCUUUCCCGUCUCAUCAUGUUGGCCCAAUACGCAUCCCAUGGAAUUCUCCAACACUGUUAGAUACAAUAUCAAUGGCCUAUCUGGACUUGGAGGUGAUAAGACUGGAGUAUUAGCCAAGUACUGCUUUAUCUUAUCGAAAGCCCUCUGACACUCUUCAUCCCAUUCGCCCGGAUUAUGUUUCUUUAAGAGCCGGAAUACUAGAUCACAUUUCUCUGUCAGUUGUGAGAUGAACCGAGCAAUGUAAUUCAGCCUCCCUAGGAAACCUCGAACCUCCUUCUGAGUGCGCGGGGGAGGUAAAUCUCGUAUUGCCUUUACUUUGUCUGGGUCAACCUCGAUCCCCUUUUUGCUAACUAUGAAGCCUAAUAACUUUCCUGAUCUGGCUCCGAACGUGCAUUUGGCCGGGUUAAGCUUGAGCUGAAAUUUCUUUAAUCUCAAAAAUAACCUUUUCAAGACCUGAACAUGCUCUUCUUCCGUUCUAGACUUCGCGAUCAUAUCGUCAACAUAGACUUCGAUCUCCUUGUGCAUCAUGUCGUGAAACAAAGUCACCAUAGCUCUUUGAUACGUUGCUCCCGCAUUCUUCAAUCCGAAGGGCAUUACCUUGUAACAAAAUGUUCCCCAUAAGGUAAUGAAUGUGGUUUUCCUCAUGUCUCCGGGAUGCAUCUUUAUUUGAUUGUAUCCAGAGAAACCGUCCAUGAAAGAAAACAAUGAAUAGCCCGCCGUGUUAUCUACCAAAGUAUCAAUGUGAGGCAGUGGAAAGUUGUCCUUUGGACUAGCCUUGUUUAAAUCCCUAUAAUCCACACACAUUCGUACCUUUCCAUCUUUUUUGGGAACAGGGACGAUGUUGGCUACCCAAUCCGAAUACUUGACCUCUUGUAAAAAACCAGCGUCGAAUUGUCUUUUGACUUCUUCUCUUAUUUUCAACACAAUGUCAGGUCUCAUUCUCCUAAGCUUCUGUUGAACGGGUUUACAAUCCUCUUUUAUGGGCAGACGAUGCACCACAAUGUUAGUACUUAGCCCAGGCAUAUCUUGGUACGACCACGCGAAAACAUCCUUGAACUCUCGGAGUAAAUUAAUGAGGUCUUGCCUUGUCUUUGCGGUAAUUUCAGUUCCAAUUUUCACCUCCUUUCCAUCCUCUAGGCUCACUAUUUCUAACGAUUCCCUAUGAGGUAGGAUAUGCUUAUCCUCUUGUUCCAUCAUUCUUAACAAGUCCGGAGAUGCAUCAUAAUCUUCGUCAUUUUCAAAGUCGUGGGAUCCCUCUGAACACACUUCUUGCUCAAAAAUAGGCUCCGAAUUUGAGGCAGCGUCACUCAUGUCAUUGAUAUCUGAAGACCUAUGUGGGCAGAUCAAAGAAUAUACCAAGAAUAUAAAUUUAUGAAUAUGUUUGUGCAAAAGAAUUACAAAUGAAAGAAUUAUUUGUAAGACAAUCAACCAAAUGAAAAAUAUGAAAGGAAAAACAAUGACUGAUCGAGAUGAACGUAGACACGUAUUUUAUUAAAAUAAUGAUAUUUAGGCCCAAUGCCUAUUUCACAAAAGAUUUCAUAUCAUUUCUAGGCCAACAAACAACAGGAAUGUUUUGAGCAUUACUCUGAAUAAGCCCUAAAGACUACAGGGAUUUCUUCAGCAGUCCAAUUGUUUAGCUCGCUUCCAGGCUCAUAAGGGCAGAUCUCCAACAAAGCUCUCCUUUCCGUUGCUUCUAUGGCGUUAGUAUAAACGUUUUCCAACAUUCCUCCCAUACCGCUACCGGACACUCCACAUUCAGAAUGAAUAAAUCCUCCCGACACAAAAGAUGUAGAUAUGUGGGGAAAGGUUAAAGGCUCACACUUAGCUUCAUGUCCAUUCAAACGCGCCCUUCUUCUCUCUUGUCUCUUCUCUACUUCUUUCUUCUUCUGCUUCAUGUCUGGCUUGUACCCUAAACCAAAUCUAUCAAACUUUUCCUUCGGCAUUGGUGCCUCAAUCCUUCCCUGAAGAUAUUUUUCCAAUCCUUUCCCGGGUAAGGCUCCUCUUCCUACCAUCAAUCGCAAUCCCAUCUCAGUGGUCCUGGAUAUUUUUGGUACUGGAAUUCUAUUUCCCUCCGCAAUAAACAUCGCGUUCACAAAUUCUAACGACCGAAAAGAACAUUCUAGUGCCUCAUCGUUGAUGUCCACAUAAGGUGCAUCGCUAGUCAUCAUUGCGAUAAUAUCCUCCUCUGCAUCUAUUGUUACCAACCGAUCCUCUGAUACCAACUUCACCUUCUGAUGUAAUGAUGAAGGUACUGCCCCUGCUGAGUGUAUCCACGGUCUCCCCAAUAGACAGUUGUAGGAGGGUUUAAUAUCCAUUACCAAGAAAUCCACCUCAUAAGUGACUGGGCCAAUCCUUAAUGGUACCUCAAUUCUCCCCAUAACCUCCUUUUUUAUUCCAUCAAAUGCCCUUACUAUGCUCUGGCAUGCUUUCAUGUGCGAACUGUCUAUUGGUAAUCGACUAAGAGUGGACAAAGGUAAUACAUUUAGUGCAGAUCCAUUAUCAACCAAGGCCCCCGGGAGUGUGUACCCUUUGCAUCGGACAGUAACAUGCAGGGCUUUAGUAGAACCUCUUCCUCCGGAUGGUAUUUCAUCAUCACUGAAGAAGAUAAAAUUGUCAGCACCAAUAUUGUUGAUCAGCCGAUCCAGCUUGUUUACCGAAAUAUCGUCAGCCACAUAUGUUUCGUUUAGCACCUUUAAUAGUGCAUUCCGAUGUACUUCUGAGUUUAAGAGUAAAGCUAAUACAGAAAUGCGGGCUGGCUAUUUGUGCAGUUGCUCCACAACACUGUAUUCACUGUGUUUCAAAAACUUCAAAAACUCCUUUGCCUCCUCUUCUUUUAUUGGUUCAUUUACCAAUGGUUCAACUUCUACUGCUUUCCCUUUCCUCUGUUCUUUCUUCCAAUUCUCCUCCCUGGACGACUCUGCUUGAGCGUCAUAUCUUUUUCCAUUGCGCGUGUAAGAACCUAUUUCCUGAUUUUUUUCUGCUUCUUUUCCCAAAAUGGUCACAUUACACCCGUAAUUUCACGGCACCAUUUUGUUAUCCCUAUAAGAGAAAUUUGAUGGUUUCUGGAUUACAAUUUUCGGUGUUACCUGAGCCCUGACCUCAUUACCCUUAGGGCGUGAGAUAAUGACCACAGGAUGAUUUGGAGCCUUUGUUCCCAACUCUGUCACGCAUAUGCUCCUCAUUUCUUUUGCAUCUUCGUAAAACCCCAUUUCCUUGUUAUCCAUCAUGCUUUGAACCAAAGCCCUAAAUCCCUCACAUUCUUGGAUUUCGUGCCCUGUUUUAUGGUGAAAUUCACAAUAAUUUCCCAUCUCAUGCCCUUCCUCAGAAUCUGAAAUAACCAAACCUCUUUUCGCCAUUUCUUUCCAGACCCGUUUCAAUGGAGUUUUUACUUCAGCAAUGUCAGUCUUGACUUCUUCUCCCGUACCUUCGCUAACCAUAUUCACCCCCUUAUCUGCGUGAUUAGGUAACGGAUUCUUUGCGUUAGGUGAGUCGUCAAGUUUGACAACACCUAAAUUGAUAAGUCCUUCUACUACCUUCUUGAAGGCAGUACAAUUUUCUAUCGAGUGCCCAGAAAUUCCCGCAUGAUAAUCACAUUGCGCGUUCAUAUCAUACCAUUUUGGAUACGGGGGUUGUAGAGGACUCAAGUAACGAGGAGCAACAACAUGUGCAUCGAAUAAAGUCUGAUACAACUCCUUGUAUAACAUCGGGAUUGGCGUGAAUUGGGGCUUUUCAGUAGUUUGCCUAGCUCCCGACUCUUGUCUUGAUGAUCCCUGUUGAUUAGCAACCACUUUCUUUGGUUGAUUCACGGUAAUUGACCUACCAUAGGCAUUCACAUUAUUCACUUCAUUUUCUCUUUUCCUCAAGGGUGCCCUCCUAUUAUUUUCUCCUCCCUCUAUUUUUCCACUUUUAAUGGCAUGCUCAAUCAUUUCACCAUUCAUGAUUAUAUCUGAGAAAUUUUUUGAAGCGCUUCCCAACAUGUGAGUGAUGAACGGGGCUUUCAAAGUAUUAAUAAAAAGCGUCGUCAUCUCUUUUUCCAAAAGCGGUGGUUGCACCUGAACUGCCACCUCUCGCCACCUCUGCGCAUAUUGUCUGAAGCUUUCGUUCGAUUUCUUCUCUAAAUUUUGCAGAGUUAUCCUGUCAGGCAUCAUUUCUGAGACAUGAUUGUACUGUCUCAGGAAAGCCUGUGCUAAAUCCCUCCAAGUAGUAAUUUUAGCUCGGCUCAGCUGAUUGUACCACUUUGACGCCGCUCCCGUAAGACUUUCCUGAAAGCAAUGUAUUAAUAAUUGAUCAUUAUUAAUAUGCCCCGUCAUUCUUCUACAAAACAUAGUAAUAUGGGAUCCUGGGCAACUAGUCCCGUUGUAUUUCUCAAAUUUCGGCAUCUUAAAUUUGUAAGGGAGCACCAAGUCCGGAACCAAGCUCAGAUCCUUUGCAUCUAUUCCAUAGCUUUCGAUACUUUCUAUUGCCCUAAACUUCUCUUCUAUCCAUUUCCAUUUCUCCUCAAAUUGUUUUGGAAAUUCCUCCUUCGCCUUGUCCUUUUCAACCAUCUCGUCAAGAUCUGGGACAGCAAUAUUAUUCGGGCUAUCGCCGGGAUUAAAGCCCGCUCCGGAUUGAAAAUUCAUUGGGAUUGAAGCAUCGUCUUGGGACUGUUGGGGCCUAAUCGACACAGAGGGCCUCCGCGGAUGCAGCUCAGUCUGUACUUGCACAUGCGGAGGCGUGAAACCUGGAGGAUAAAGUGGUUCACCAUUGUUUUCUUCUUCACUAACAAUCACAGGCCCUUUACCCUUAUCUACUCCCUUCAAUAAUUGCGUCAUCUUAGCCACCAGAUCAUUUUGGGACUCCUCCAUCUUUUGUACCAUGUCACGCUGAAUCUUUUCUAUUUGCUCUUUCAUUUGCGCCUGCAACUGGUCUUGCAUUUCUCUUUGAAGUCGCUCUAGCUUCUCCAACCUUUGGUCCAUAAUUUUUGUCUUAGCUCGGGUGCCGUAACUGAAAUGAUUUUAUUCGAUUAGGUUUUUAAUGGUCAUUAAUGCAUAUGAUGUGAUGCAAUGCAUGAAAAGAAUGCAAAGGAAAAGAGGCACUGAUUCUAAUUCAACUUCAUUAGAAAACUUUACUAGAUAAAGAGUUUCUUUACAUAAAAUAGACUACAUAUAUGGCUUUGCCCUCACACUCAAAGCCUUAACCUUUCUAAGAAGCCAAGCUAAUUCCCGGCCCCUGUCUGACUCUGACUCAUACUUCAAACUUAAUAGAUCAGCCUGAACCGCUAGAGUUUGCAGAUGAUCAGCUACUUCGCGCACUUGAGUCACCGCCUCUCCCAUAAUAUAAUCUCUUUCUCCAAUCUGCUCUUGAGACCGACGGAAUUGUCUUUGCCACUGCUCAUUACUUUCUUCCAGAAGCUCUAUCCGGAUUUCACUAUUUUGCAAUGCAUUCUCUAGCCCUCCUAUCUGUCUUUUUAAUUCUUCAAUUUUGUCUAAGCUCGCCCUUAAUUCAACCGUAGCAUUACGAUUACAGUACUGGUGAAGCGAUCUUUCUAGUUCAGUUAUCCGGACCUUCAACUCCGUCUUCUCGUCUUGGCAAACUAGUAGACUCUUUCCCAAGACGACUUCUCGAGCCCGAGUAUCCUGAAAUUUCUUUUCCCAUUGAUUAGCUUUCGUCUUUUCCUCCUGAAUUUCUUGUCGCCAUUGUUCUGGUGUUUUACCCAAGCCAGCGGCUCUUACCGACUUACGCAACUUCUUGUAAUCUGUCUUCAGGCUGUCCAAAUCUUCUUCUGCUUUGUUCUUUCCUUUUCUCAAUUUGUUAGCCUCUAAUCUUUGAAUGUCCACAUCCAGUCCUAACUGUAUUUUUUCUUCCUCUAGUUGUUCUAUCUUCUUCCCCAAUUCUAAACUCCUUUUUUCGAAUUCUUGUUUGAUGAUUUCUAUCUCAGAAGGCAAAACUUGUAAGUGUUCCUCUAAAGAUCGAGCAGUUUCUGAAUUUGACGCCGGGAUGUUGUCGUUGAUCCUUUGAUCACGCCACUGACCAUACUUGGGGGUAAUUGUCGGACCCACGGCUAAGAUCUUCAUUCGACGAGUCUGGUUCCAGGCACUAGAUAUUUCUCGAACCUUCUUCUUGUAAUUGUCCUCCCUAUAGGAAAAAUCACUAUAAGCCAACCCCUGGGUUGCUGGUAUGAAUUGUCGUGAUCUAUACUGUCUUGAUACGAGUAGAGGAGCAUAUCCGAUAGCUCCCUAUAUCCCGAGCAGCGGAACCCAGUCAAAAUCUCCACAUCGGUACAAUAUCUCAUCAGGAAUUAACCAAGGAGCCCUCCAUUCAAUAUCUUCAUCUUGGAGAUUCUGGAGUAUCUCUAUCCAUUUUUCUUCUGAAAUAUCAUCCCGUUUUGACGUGACCACCAAUUCUCCUAGAGGGGAGUAGCUAUCAGAGAACACCCGAUAAGAGACCUUUUCGACUUUCCAGCAGUGGCUAUGGAACCAUGCCAAUAAGAGCUGCGCGCAUCCAAUAAACCUUCCCUCCCCUACUUUUCGACACGCAUUCAAGGAUCUAAAAGUUUCAGGGAGUAUUGCCGGAACCGGUGUAACCCCUUUACUAAGCCGAUCGAACAAAUCAGAUACAGCCUCGUCUAUGUGUCCUAAAGCUUUGGGGAAAACCACUAGUCCAUAGAUACCUAAAGCGAAGACAUGGACCCUUUUCUUUAAGUCAGGAUGUACAAGCACCAAAUCUCGCAAACUUUUCCAAGGAACACAUUUACUGUCGCCCUUCUGUUGGAUCCAGGCAGCGACCCACUGCUCGCUCAUCCCAGUGAUGUUCAUUAAUUUCUUUAACAACGGAGGGACACAAGUAGCUCUGGAAUAAGCCUUGUCGACUUGAAUCUUUGGGCACCGAAGCAAGGUCGUAUACUCCUCCACAGUAGGCGUCAAAUCUACCUUUCCAAAAGUGAAACAACUGUAGGCAGGAUUCCAAAACUGAGCAAGGGCUCGGAAUAAAUACUUUUCCACUUUGACACUAAGCAGGUAAGGUAGGUCACCGUAGUUACAAUAGAACAGCUGCUUGGCCUCGACAUCCCAUUGAUCCCAGACUUCUUUCAUUUCUCGAAGGUCAUUUUGGAUUACACUGAUACGGGUAAAAUCCCACAAUUCUGACACGUACCCUUUGGUAAGACUAUCGCCUUUCUCCCGUUGUGUCGUUUCAGCCCAUAUUCGCACAGCCGCAUUAUCCUCUACUUUAUCAACAAACCCCUUUUCCAUGAUAAGCUUUCUACCAAGAAACUGAACGUAAAUCGACACCUCUUUUAGAAUGAAGAUGCCAUGCAAUCACAAACAAAGUAAAUUAGCAUUAAACACAGAAUAAGAUUUAAAAUAAGCGACAAAUAAAUACAACAUUCAUUUAGGUAAGCACUAAAAAUUUAGAGUAGCUCUACCUAGGUCGGUUCCUAUGGCUCAUUACAUGUGGUUUGGUUCUAAAGUAGGGUACCUGAACCAGCAAAUUCCUCGAUCCUCACCCAUUAUAGGCUCAUACGGACCAAGUUCGAUUCAGGGGGAUACAUUUCCCUAUGGCCAUGCGGAGAUGAAAAUCUCACGAAGACAUAGGUACGGAUAUAUCCCGAAAGCGAUUCACUAUCCCAUGCGGAGGUGAAAACCUCACGAAGGCGUAGCUUCUCACUCCCACUUAAAAAGGUGUGACCAACGGUCAUGCAAUGCAAUGCGGAAAGAUACCAAAAUUUAAACAAACAGAGCAAUUAUAAACCCCAAUGAUGAUGAUUAUGGUAAAGACAGAUAAAAUGCGAUGAAAGGAUCGUAAUUUUAAACCGAAUUUUCAAUUUUUGACAAAAGAUAAAAAGUAAUCACCACGUGGCUUGACCCUCUUAUCGGAGUCCCCAGCGGAGUCGCCAAGCUGUUGACACCAUUUUUUUGGAUGAAAACGGGGUCGACUUGGGUUUUGAAAAAUGAAAACGAAAGUGGGAGUCGCCACCAAUCUUUUUUUGAUGAGGUGUGAUUGGGUCACCUUUAAAAGCGGUUGUCUUUAAUAGAUAAUUUAAUUUUAUUAAAACAACGAGUUUGGUCUACAAAAAUUCAGAAAACGGGUUCGGGAGUCGGUUACGUACGAGGAAGGAUUAGUACCCUCGAAACGCCCAAAAUUGGUACCUAGUUGAUUAGUUAAUGUCUUAAUGUCGAAAAUUGAAAACUUUGAAGAAUUUUAAAAAAAUACGAUCCUUGUAUUAAAAUGUUGAAAAUUUUGGAAAAAGUGGUAUAUUUCAUGAGAGAAAGAGGAUCAUAUCCAGUAAGUUAGGAUACAAUGUCUCGAAUUCCCGAUACACAAACGAAUGCCAAAAUUUACUUAUUUAAAAGAUAUUUUAGCUAUCUCGGAUUUAAAAAAGGAUAUCACGACCAGUAAGUUAGAACGCGAUUUUUAAAUCUCGAGAUUACUAAGAACUUGAGUUUGAAAAGAGUCGUGCAUUUAGAUGUGUUGUGAAGAUCGAAACCCAGUAAGUUAGGGCACAAUCUUUUCGAAUCUAAACACGAUGCUAUUUAUUCAAAACAAACUUCGGUAUAUCGAAUAAAAUAAAACACAAAAUCGUAGUAAAGAAUGUGAGAACAUAGAUAAAUAUAUACAUAUAUAUAUAAAAUCGGUAAGUAUUAUAAAAAUAAAAAUGUAAAUAUGUGUUUAUAUAUAUUUACAAAUUGUGACAAUAUAAAGUAUAUGUAUGUGAAUCAUAAAAUAUGUAAAAUAUACAAAAAGCAUUUUUAAGAAUAUAAAGAAUAUAUAUAAGUAUGUAUAUGAUGUAAAAUAUGCAUAAAUAUAUGUAAGUAUAUAAGAAUUAUGAAAUGUGAAAAAUAUAUUUAAGUAUGUAUAAGUACGUAUAUAUAUACAUAAUAAUUUAGAGUAUAAAGAUACAUAUAAAAAUUUAAAAUGAAUAUUACGUAUGAUGAUUCAGAAGAAAUAACAUAUAUGCAAAAUUUUUAAAAUUGAUAAUGAUUUAGAAUAUAUGAUAUAUUCAAAAUAAUGCCAAUAAUAAUAGUAAUAAUAAUGUAGAUAAGAAACAAGAAAAUAAAAUAAUAUAAUAUGACAAAUUUAAUAUAAAAUUGAUUGAUUUGAUGACAUAGUGGUGAUACUAAUGAUAACACAAUAAUAAUGACAUAGAAAACAAUGAUAUCAAUAAAAUAAUAAGGACAAAAAAUAGCUCCAAUAUUAACAAUAACGACAAUAAUAGAAUAACAACAAUAACAAAUAAAGAAUAAUAAUGAUUAUAACUAUUAUGUAAAACAGUGAUAUAAAUAGUAACAACAAUAAUGAUAAGAUAUAAGAAAUAAUAGAAUAAUGGCAAUAAUAAUAAUAAGUAGCAAUAAUAGAAUUAAUAAUAAAAAUAAAGUUGAUUAAUUAAAAAAAACUAUAUUGAAUUUUGGAACACAAAUUUGGGGCGAAUUCAAAAUAAAAAAAGAAGGGAGGACACAUUGAAAUGCGCCAAGAAAGUAGAGGGAUCCCAUGCGCAAAUAGACCAUUCGGUCAAAAUGCGCGGAUCCUCCGUGGGCGUAGGGCGGGUCGCGUGUGGGAGGUCCAAAACUGUGUCGUUUUGGCACCUGGACCCCCCACUCCCAAACGGCGCCGUUUGCCUCUAGUCUUUAAGUUAGUUUCUUUUCUUCAUUUCAGUUUCUCUAAAAAAAACUGAGGGCCUUUUGCCCUCUCCCCCUCUCUCUUUGCUUCAGCCGAUCGGGCUAUCUCGCAGUCCACCGUAUCGCCACUAUUUUUAGUGCCCGGUGACGCGCGACCCUGGGUAUUUAAACCCCGCUUGGGAGCCCUUCGAAGGCCAGGCACCUCGACGUCCUUUGGGAACCAAGAGAGAAACCCGUGGCCCUCUCCUUCGAACCCAAUCGCCACGAUGGAGAAGGUUCUCCGGCGACGCGUCCGUGGUUUCAGGUGAGGUUUCCUUAUUUCUUUUCUUUUACUUUUGUCUAUUUUCGUAUAUAAAAAAGAAAAAUAAAAAAAACAAAAUAAGUGAACUCAGAUCUUAGAACGAAAGUGAAAAUCAACCUUUUUUGAUUUCUUGCUACCCUUUGUUUAUGUUUGUUUCCAUCUCCCCUAUCUGUGUUACAAAAUCCUUUUUUUAUAUCAAAAAAGAAGAACCCCCCUCCUCCCCUUACAAAAUAGUUUCGGUGGCUUAAUAUAGCCUUCCACAAUUUUCUCCUAUUUUUUGUUUUCUGUCUUUUCUUCUUUGUUUUUGCAGGUGCAAGUGGCAUGGGAGCGGCAGAGCAGGUGGAGCAAGUGAGCGGUGAUGGGACGGUGGCAGAAAGCAGGUGAACGGCGGAGUUGGUGGCGGUGGCAGAGGGUAGGUGAUGGGGUAUUGUAAUUGGGUCUGCUGGUAUGGGUUCUUUUGUUAGUGGGCCGGGCAGAAAUUGGGUAAGUUAAUUGGUUUUGUGUUUUGUUUUUUUGCUUGGGCUAGAGGUUAAUUGGGCCCGGGCAUGAAAAUUGGGCUUGUACAAACAUAGCAAUGGAACUCAUAAUAUGACACCCAGAUUUUAUAGAUUAAUACAUCAUAAAGCUAUUCAACUAAUAGUACUUACAGAAGAGUUAUCACUAGGAGCAUGUAGUCUGUAAUGCGAAUCAUAUAAGC